AUACGUAGGUGACGAGCGUUAUCCGGAUUUACUGGGCGUAAAGGGCGUGUAGGCGGUCUUGCAAGUCAGAAGUGAAAUUCCUGAGCUCAACUCGGGCGCUGCUUCUGAAACUGCAGGACUUGAGUGCUGGAGGGGAUAGCGGAAUUCCUAGUGGAGCGGUAAAAUGCGCAGAUAUUAGGAAGAACACCGGUGGCGAAGGCGGCUAUCUGGACAGUAACUGACGCUGAGGCGCGAAAGCGUGGGGAGCAAACAGGAUUAGAUCCCCUGGUAGUCCACGCUGUAAACGAUGAAUACUAGGUGUAGGGGGUAUCGACUCCCUCUGUGCCGCAGUUAACACAAUAAGUAUUCCGCCUGGGGAGUACGGCCGCAAGAUUGAAACUUAAAGGAAUUGACGGGG
Molecule: ribosomal RNA, 397 nt
Filed under: uncultured bacterium
Lineage: Bacteria
Description: partial 16S ribosomal RNA
Rfam family: Bacterial small subunit ribosomal RNA
Source: RNAcentral